Lupinus angustifolius (narrow-leaved blue lupine) is the source of this 117-nucleotide microRNA precursor. It matches the Rfam family "mir-399 microRNA precursor family". Rfam says of the family: mir-399 was identified in both Arabidopsis thaliana and Oryza sativa computationally and was later experimentally verified. mir-399 is thought to target mRNAs coding for a phosphatase transporter. The mature sequence is excised from the 3' arm of the hairpin. The record is from Rfam. Lineage: Eukaryota; Viridiplantae; Streptophyta; Magnoliopsida; Fabales; Fabaceae.
GGGUGCAUCACUGGGCAAUGACUUCUUUGGCCGUUGGCAAUUCAACUGCAUUUCAUUUAGGUGAUUAGGUUGAGAAGCUUAGUUACUGCCAAAGAAGAUUUGUCCAGCAAUUCACCC